This 465-nucleotide ribosomal RNA is filed under the name uncultured bacterium. RNAcentral describes it as "partial 16S ribosomal RNA". It matches the Rfam family "Bacterial small subunit ribosomal RNA", at positions 338 to 795 of the family's 1533-position model. The record is from RNAcentral.
CCUACGGGUGGCAGCAGUGGGGAAUAUUGCGCAAUGGGCGAAAGCCUGACGCAGCGACGCCGCGUGAGGGAUGAAGGUCUUCGGAUCGUAAACCUCUGUCAGCAGGGAAGAACGGUCACUGUGCUAAUCAGCAGUGCAUUGACGGUACCUGCAAAGGAAGCACCGGCUAACUCCGUGCCAGCAGCCGCGGUAAUACGGAGGGUGCGAGCGUUAAUCGGAAUUACUGGGCGUAAAGCGCUCGUAGGCGGUAUGUCAAGUCACGGGUGAAAUCCCCGCGCUCAACGGGGGAACUGCCUUUGAAACUGGCAAACUGGAGUGUAGGAGAGGAUAGUGGAAUUCCAGGGGUAGGAGUGAAAUCCGUAGAUAUCUGGAGGAACAUCAGUGGCGAAGGCGACUAUCUGGCACAUAACUGACGCUGAGGAGCGAAAGCGUGGGUAGCAAACAGGAUUAGAUACCCCAGUAGUC